GACCUGUCGUGUACCGGUACCAUUCGGCGAGUGAGCGGCAAAAGCUCAAAUUUGAAAUCUGGUACCUUUGGUGCCCGAGUUGUAAUUUGGAGAGGGCAACUUUGGGACCGUUCCUUGUCUAUGUUCCUUGGAACAGGACGUCAUAGAGGGUGAGAAUCCCGUGUGGCGAGGAGUGCGGUUCUAUGUAAAGUGCCUUCGAAGAGUCGAGUUGUUUGGGAAUGCAGCUCUAAGUGGGUGGUAAAUUCCAUCUAAAGCUAAAUAUUGGCGAGAGACCGAUAGCGAACAAGUACAGUGAUGGAAAGAUGAAAAGAACUUUGAAAAGAGAGUGAAAAAGUACGUGAAAUUGUUGAAAGGGAAGGGCAUUUGAUCAGACAUGGUGUUUUGCGCCCUCUGCUCCUUGUGGGUGGGGGAAUCUCGCAGUUCACUGGGCCAGCAUCAGUUUUGGUGGCAGGAUAAAUCCGUAGGAAUGUAACUUGCUUCGGGAAGUAUUAUAGCCUAUGGGAAUACUGCCAGCUGGGACUGAGGACUGCGACGUAAGUCAAGGAUGCUGGCAUAAUGGUUAUAUGCCGCCCGUCUUGAACCACGAGACACGC
RNAcentral lists this ribosomal RNA (593 nucleotides) under Saccharomyces uvarum. RNAcentral's name for it is "eukaryotic LSU rRNA". It matches the Rfam family "Eukaryotic large subunit ribosomal RNA", at positions 56 to 664 of the family's 3401-position model. The record is from RNAcentral. Lineage: Eukaryota; Fungi; Ascomycota; Saccharomycetes; Saccharomycetales; Saccharomycetaceae.